UCCAGUUUAUCACCGGCAGUCUUCCUAGAGUGCCCACCAUGACGUGAUGGCAACUAAGAAUAAAGGUUGCGCUCGUUGCGGGACUUAACCCAACACUUCACAGCACGAGCUGACGACAGCCAUGCAGCACCUGUGUAAUCGUCUCUUGCGAGAGGACCCACUUUCAUGGGCUUUCAAAUACAAGUCAAGCCUGGGUAAGGUUCUUCGCGUAGCCUCGAAUUAAACCACAUGCUCCACCGCUUGUGCGGGUCCCCGUCAAUUUCUUUGAGUUUCAGUCUUGCGACCGUACUCCCCAGGUGGUGGAUUUAAUGCGUUAGCGUCGGCGCUAGGGGGAUCGACACCCCUAACACCUAAUCCACAUCGUUUACGGCAAGGACUAC
Molecule: unclassified non-coding RNA, 380 nt
Filed under: uncultured bacterium
Lineage: Bacteria
Description: contains 16S-23S intergenic spacer region
Source: RNAcentral